AUGGAGUUGUUUGCUUCUAGAAUCACACCAUCACAGAAUCACAGUCAGGAAGCAUCAAGACCUGGAACCCAUGAUGAUCAGGAAACCUGGGCUACUGCUGCCCCAGAACUGUCUUAUGUCUGGUACAUGGACAUCCCAUGCCCUGACUUUGGGCACUCAACAAACACCACUGGCCAUUGCCCAGACUUGUGGAGAAAAUGCCCUUUGCCUGCAGGAUGCCAUUCUCUGAAGCUGGUGAAAAAGAAACCUCUCCAGGGGAAACUUUUCUGACAUCCACAGAAAGAGUUAUUUGCCUCCGCCCACUUUGGAAUUGUAUGUCUGUCAUCCUCCUAAAUAUAAUCUUCUGCUUUUCUUGUCCUCUACUAUACUGUGAUUUCAUAAAAAUUUUAUAUUAAUCAUUUUUGGUAUCUUUGGUGCCUGGCUUGUUCAAUAUAAAUUUAGAAGAUGUAUGUGCAAUGCUUUGCUUUUCCAAGUAGGAAGCUAAAAUGGUAAGGUUAUCUGUUAUCCAUUUUCUUCAUUGCAACCCAAACCUUGUAUUAUGAAAACCAAUAUAUUAUCAACUGUCCUAGAAUCCUAAGUAGUUCCUUUUCACAGAGCAAAGUGCAGUGUGAUAGAGAACAGGUUUCAGAGUGAGAAAUUACUGGAUUGGAAUCCUUGCUCUACCUUUAGCUUCCUGAGUGAUUGUGACUAACUUCUUCAACUUGGUAUCUUCAUUGGUAGAAUAAGGAUGGUAAGACUGCUUACCCCACAGGUGUUUGUAAGGCUCAAAGACAUAAUGCACAUAGAGCACCCAGUACAGUGCCUGCCACUCAGUAUCUCCCAGUAGUGGGAGGAUGACAAGGAGAGGGAAAUCAGUGAUCCCUCAAUUUUUAAUUGACAUUCGCACGUGUCUGUCCAGAGGAAGAAAUUAUUAGGAUUACCUUCAGAUUCUCACUUGUGCCAAAAUGCUAAAAUUCAAGAAUUUUAUUUAAUGGGCAAAAUGUAGUGUUCAUCCGCUUGUAGAGAAUUAGGAAUAAUCUUUCCAAGCAGCAUCAGCCACCAUCCACCCUCACAGAGGCAAGCCAAGCCACAGGAAUGGAUGAUGGUGGUGACUUAUCUCUCCUGAAGCUUGUGGCUGGGGAGAAUCAGUCUAGAAGGUUAAAGUCUUGAUCCCGGGAUGAAAUAAAGACAUGAUUCAUAAGAAACA
Molecule: long non-coding RNA, 1186 nt
Filed under: Oryctolagus cuniculus (rabbit)
Lineage: Eukaryota; Metazoa; Chordata; Mammalia; Lagomorpha; Leporidae
Description: lncRNA (ENSOCUG00000034522.1)
Source: RNAcentral